AACGAACGCUGGCGGCAGGCUUAACACAUGCAAGUCGAGCGCCCCGCAAGGGGAGCGGCAGACGGGUGAGUAACGCGUGGGAAUCUACCCAUCUCUACGGAAUAACUCAGGGAAACUUGUGCUAAUACCGUAUACGCCCUUCGGGGGAAAGAUUUAUCGGAGAUGGAUGAGCCCGCGUUGGAUUAGCUAGUUGGUGGGGU
RNAcentral lists this ribosomal RNA (200 nucleotides) under uncultured bacterium. Its description in RNAcentral is "partial 16S ribosomal RNA". It matches the Rfam family "Bacterial small subunit ribosomal RNA", at positions 29 to 258 of the family's 1533-position model. The record is from RNAcentral.